RNAcentral lists this transfer RNA (72 nucleotides) under Camelus bactrianus (Bactrian camel). It matches the Rfam family "tRNA". Rfam says of the family: Transfer RNA (tRNA) molecules are approximately 80 nucleotides in length. Their secondary structure includes four short double-helical elements and three loops (D, anti-codon, and T loops). Further hydrogen bonds mediate the characteristic L-shaped molecular structure. tRNAs have two regions of fundamental functional importance: the anti-codon, which is responsible for specific mRNA codon recognition, and the 3' end, to which the tRNAs corresponding amino acid is attached (by aminoacyl-tRNA synthetases). tRNAs cope with the degeneracy of the genetic code in two manners: having more than one tRNA (with a specific anti-codon) for a particular amino acid; and 'wobble' base-pairing, i.e. permitting non-standard base-pairing at the 3rd anti-codon position. The record is from Rfam by way of RNAcentral. RNAcentral also lists the same sequence under 2 other names. Lineage: Eukaryota; Metazoa; Chordata; Mammalia; Artiodactyla; Camelidae.
GAGGGUAUAGCUCAGUGGUAGAGUGCCUGCUUAGCAUGCAAGAAGUCCUGGGUUCAAUCUCCAGUACCUCUU